CCUACGGGAGGCAGCAGUGGGGAAUAUUGCACAAUGGGGGAAACCCUGAUGCAGCAACGCCGCGUGAGUGAAGAAGGUUUUCGGAUUGUAAAGCUCUGUUAGCAGGGAAGAGGAAGGACGGUACCCGAAGAAAAAGCAUCGGCUAACUCCGUGCCAGCAGCCGCGGUAAUACGGAGGAUGCGAGCGUUAUCCGGAUUUAUUGGGUUUAAAGGGUGCGUAGGCGGACAGUCAAGUCAGCGGUAAAAAUGCGGUGCUCAACGCCGUACAGCCGUUGAAACUGGCAGUCUUGAGUGGGCGAGAAGUAUGCGGAAUGCGUGGUGUAGCGGUGAAAUGCAGAGAUAUCACGCAGAACUCCGAUUGCGAAGGCAGCAUACCGGCGCUCAACUGACGGUCAUGCACGAAAGCGUGGGUAUCGAACAGGAUUAGAUACCCGGGUAGUC
This 440-nucleotide ribosomal RNA is filed under the name uncultured bacterium. Its description in RNAcentral is "partial 16S ribosomal RNA". It matches the Rfam family "Bacterial small subunit ribosomal RNA", at positions 338 to 795 of the family's 1533-position model. The record is from RNAcentral.